UCAUCAUUUGGCUCACUACCUGGGGAAAUAGGAAGCAAGCUUGUUGUGAGGCUCUGUGAUUUACUGACUCGCCGGCAGCAGUUCCCGUAGUCCUCAACACCAGCAGUGGACCCCUUGUCAUCAGCCCCAGGAGCAGUGGGAUCACUGACAACAGCACCAGAUGCUGGAACAUCAGACUUCCUGGACCUGUCAGGAUAUUUAUGAGGUCUACAACAAUAUAUCCACCAUUGUAUUUAUACAUUGAAAUGGUCCCUUCAAAUAUGGCUGCCGGGAGUGCACAAUUGAAGACCAAUAUGAACACCGGGGAUAUGUGUGCAUCUUAAUUGAGGUCAUCCUGUAUGAGAGGACUACUGAAUAUGUAACAGCAUACAGCAGGUGACUCAGCGCUUCUGGAUGAUGCUCCCGGCAACACAUCACUUACGGUUGCAGCCUUUCUAUCUGGACGUAAUGUAAGCCUGUACUUACGGUUACGGCUUCUCUAUCCGGAUGUGAUACAAGCCUGUAUUUGUAUCUCGCUGAAAGCGGGAUGUUUCUUACAGGAUGGACAUAUGACUUCCGGUCAUGACGCGGCGGUCCCGCCAGAAAUGAGGAGGACGUAUACCAUCCUGUUAUGUAUUAAAUAGAAAACCAGAAACGGCCUCUUCUAAAGGAAGUUUUCUAUGUUACAAUAUUGGGAUCCAUUAGAUUAGGUGAUCUAUGUCUAAUUUUAGGGUUGUUUAAGAUUGUUGCUAAAGGGGUAUAAAUUCCCAGCAUGGUUCCAUUUCCCAUACACCUUGACAAAGAUGCUAUAGGUAUCGAAACGCUUUGGAAGGAAAAUAGGCUGCAUCUAUUUGGACUUCUGCCCCAGGACAAAGAGGACUGUUCCAGGGAUGCCUGAGGUUCUUCUGGGUUCAUGUGAUUUUUGUCUACUUCUUAGUAGACCAUUCCAUCUGGUAGGAGUUCAUUUACCUGCAUUGUGUUCUGAUACCACUGUGUAUUUUAUGUGCUUUUGACUGUGCUUGACAGACCUAUAUAUUUAAUAGGAGUCUGUUUUACUAUCUGUUCUUUUACAAUAAAUAUUUCUUUGUAUGGUUUUAUACUA
Long non-coding RNA from Pseudophryne corroboree (corroboree frog), 1081 nucleotides. RefSeq lists it as uncharacterized. The transcript has 3 exons. The record is from RefSeq and is a predicted model, not a curated record. Lineage: Eukaryota; Metazoa; Chordata; Amphibia; Anura; Myobatrachidae.